GAUGAACGCUGGCGGCAUGCCUAAUACAUGCAAGUCGAGCGAACGGACCGGGAGCUUUCUUCUCUGAUGUUGGCGGCGGACGGAUGAGUAACUAAUGGAUAACCUACCUAUAAGACUCGGAUAACUUCGCGAAACCGGAGCUAAUACCGAAUGAUUUUUUGAACCUCAUGGUUCACAAGUGAAAUAAGGUAUUGCUGUCACUUAUAGAUGGAUCCGGGCUGCUUUAGCUAGUUGGUAAGGUAACGGCUUACCAAGGCAAGGAUGCAAAGCGGACCUGAGAGGGUCGUCGGCUACACUGGAACUGAGACACGGUCCAGACUCCUACGGGAGGCAGCGGUAGAGAAUCUUCCGCAAUGGGCGAAAGCCUGACGUAGCCACGCCGCGUAAGUGAUGAAGGUCCUCGGAUCGGAAAACUCUGUUAUUAGUGAAGAAGAAAUAUGUAAGUAACUGGGCACAUCUUGACGGUACCGAAUCAGAAAGCCACGGCUAACUACGUG
RNAcentral lists this ribosomal RNA (497 nucleotides) under uncultured bacterium. Its description in RNAcentral is "partial 16S ribosomal RNA". It matches the Rfam family "Bacterial small subunit ribosomal RNA", at positions 28 to 507 of the family's 1533-position model. The record is from RNAcentral.